GACGAACGCUGGCGGCGUGCUUAACACAUGCAAGUCGAACGGCAAGGCCCUGCUUUUGUGGGGUGCUCGAGUGGCGAACGGGUGAGUAACACGUGAGUAACCUGCCCUUGACUUUGGGAUAACUUCAGGAAACUGGGGCUAAUACCGUAUAGGAGCUCCUGCUGCAUGGUGGGGGUUGGAAAGUUUCGGCGGGUUGGGAUGGACUCGCGGCUUAUCAGCUUGUUGGUGGGGUAGUGGCUUACCAAGGCUUUGGCGGGUAGCCGGCCUGAGAGGGUGACCGGCCACAUUGGGACUGAGAUACGGCCCAGACGCCUACGGGAGGCAGCAGUGGGGAAUAUUGCACAAUGGGCGGAAGCCUGAUGCAGCAACGCCGCGUGCGGGAUGACGGCCUUCGGGUUGUAAACCGCUUUCGCCUGUGACGAAGCGUGAGUGACGGUAAUGGGUAAAGAAGCACCGGCUAACUACGUG
RNAcentral lists this ribosomal RNA (468 nucleotides) under uncultured bacterium. Its description in RNAcentral is "partial 16S ribosomal RNA". It matches the Rfam family "Bacterial small subunit ribosomal RNA", at positions 28 to 507 of the family's 1533-position model. The record is from RNAcentral.